Molecule: ribosomal RNA, 278 nt
Filed under: Astrosyne radiata
Lineage: Eukaryota; Bacillariophyta; Fragilariophyceae; Cyclophorales; Cyclophoraceae
Description: partial Bacterial large subunit ribosomal RNA
Rfam family: Bacterial large subunit ribosomal RNA
Source: RNAcentral
AUAGCUCGUACUCCCCGAAAUGCAUUUAGGUGCAGCCUUGAGUACAACGUGUUAUAGAGGUAGAGCUACUGAUUGGGCUAGGGGGCUUCACCGCCUACCAAACCCUGACAAACUCCGAAUACUAUAACAUUAACUCAAGAGUGAGGGCAUGGGUGCUAAGGUCCAUGUCCAAGAGGGAAAGAACCCAGAUCAUCAGCUAAGGUCCCUAAAUAUAUGCUAAGUUGACCUAACGUAGUCUGAUUGCAUUGACAGCUAGGAUGUUGGCUUGGAAGCAGCCA